AUUGAACGCUGGCGGCAGGCCUAACACAUGCAAGUCGAACGGUAACAGGAAGACGCUUGCUUCUUUGCUGACGAGUGGCGGACGGGUGAGUAAUGUCUGGGAAACUGCCUGAUGGAGGGGGAUAACUACUGGAAACGGUAGCUAAUACCGCAUAACGUCGCAAGACCAAAGAGGGGGACCUUCGGGCCUCUUGCCAUCGGAUGUGCCCAGAUGGGAUUAGCUAGUAGGUGGGGUAACGGCUCACCUAGGCGACGAUCCCUAGCUGGUCUGAGAGGAUGACCAGCCGCACUGGAACUGAGACACGGUCCAGACUCCUACGGGAGGCAGCAGUGGGGAAUAUUGCACAAUGGGCGCAAGCCUGAUGCAGCCAUGCCGCGUGUAUGAAGAAGGCCUUCGGGUUGUAAAGUACUUUCAGCGGGGAGGAAGGGAGUAAAGUUAAUACCUUUGCUCAUUGACGUUACCCGCAGAAGAAGCACCGGCUAACUCCGUG
This 490-nucleotide ribosomal RNA is filed under the name uncultured bacterium. Its description in RNAcentral is "partial 16S ribosomal RNA". It matches the Rfam family "Bacterial small subunit ribosomal RNA", at positions 30 to 507 of the family's 1533-position model. The record is from RNAcentral.